Molecule: transfer RNA, 70 nt
Filed under: Crocuta crocuta (spotted hyena)
Lineage: Eukaryota; Metazoa; Chordata; Mammalia; Carnivora; Hyaenidae
Description: tRNA-Ile
Source: RNAcentral
AGAAAUAUGUCUGACAAAAGAGUUACUUUGAUANNGUAAAUCAUAGAGGCCUCAGACCCUCUUAUUUCUA